This 440-nucleotide ribosomal RNA is filed under the name uncultured bacterium. Its description in RNAcentral is "partial 16S ribosomal RNA". It matches the Rfam family "Bacterial small subunit ribosomal RNA", at positions 338 to 795 of the family's 1533-position model. The record is from RNAcentral.
CCUACGGGUGGCUGCAGUGGGGAAUAUUGCACAAUGGGGGGAACCCUGAUGCAGCAACGCCGCGUGGGUGAAGAAGUACUCCGGUAUGUAAAGCCCUGUCAGCAGGGAAGAAAAUGACGGUACCUGACCAAGAAGCCCCGGCUAACUACGUGCCAGCAGCCGCGGUAAUACGUAGGGGGCAAGCGUUAUCCGGAUUUACUGGGUGUAAAGGGAGCGUAGACGGUCCUGCAAGCCAGAUGUGAAAGCCCGGGGCUCAACCCCGGGACUGCAUUUGGAACUGUAAGGCUAGAGUGUCGGAGAGGCAGGCGGAAUUCCUAGUGUAGCGGUGAAAUGCGUAGAUAUUAGGAGGAACACCAGUGGCGAAGGCGGCCUGCUGGACGAUGACUGACGUUGAGGCUCAAAAGCGUGGGGAGCAAACAGGAUUAGAUACCCCUGUAGUC